ACACCAACUGGCCACCAACAGAAAAAAAUUCAGAAAACAACAGAAUCGUAACUCACAUUGGCCCCCAGCUUUCAGCCUGCAUUCCACCAUCGUAUAAGUGAAGACCCGUCAGUAGAGACAAGGUUUCACUGUGUUAGCCAGUCUGGUCUCCAUCUCCUGACCUCGUGAUCCGCCCGCCUCGGCCUCCCAAAGUGCUGGGAUUACAUGCAUGAGCCACUGCGCCCGGCCCAGCUGAAUCAUAUAAUGGAACAAGCCACACACCAGAAGGUAGAAUGUGGCAGUUCAGGCUACAGCAACCAUCUUGGAGGAAAAACUCAAGAGACGGGCAGCAGCGCUGGCUCUGAAGUGUCUGGAUCACGAAACUAAUUCCAACAACCAACUACAUCACAUAGGAAGAUCAUUCAGUAGAGCAAGGCGUCAAAGACUCAAGGACACAAUUUCAAAAACAGAAUGGACACCCAAGGAGGAUAAGUGAAAAAUCCAAUUUUGGCCAUCACCAUGACAUCUCAUUAUUGUUCCCUUUUGGGAGCUAACUCAGCACACACUCACUUUAUCUGACUCGUGUCGCUUGGAAGGGCAAG
Homo sapiens (human) is the source of this 581-nucleotide long non-coding RNA. Ensembl annotates it as long intergenic non-protein coding RNA 2216. The record is from Ensembl. NCBI's taxonomy places the organism in Eukaryota, Metazoa, Chordata, Mammalia, Primates, Hominidae.